GUGAAUUCGGCAGUGGCGUAGGCCAGGAGUCGUCUAACUAUUUUGACAUGUUAUGUGGAACACUUACACACAGACAUUUAACCUUUAUUCAAAUUAAUUAA
Molecule: long non-coding RNA, 101 nt
Organism: Aricia agestis (brown argus)
Lineage: Eukaryota; Metazoa; Arthropoda; Insecta; Lepidoptera; Lycaenidae
Exons: 3
Source: RefSeq, a predicted model, not a curated record